Molecule: ribosomal RNA, 738 nt
Filed under: uncultured bacterium
Lineage: Bacteria
Description: bacterial SSU rRNA
Rfam family: Bacterial small subunit ribosomal RNA
Source: RNAcentral
AGUGAACGCUGGCGGCGUGCCUAACACAUGCAAGUCGAACGAGAACGGAUUAAAGCUUGCUUUAAUUGUCAGCUAAGUGGCGCACGGGUGAGUAAUGUAUAGUUAACCUGCCCUCUAGAAAGGAAUAACAGUUGGAAACGACUGCUAAUGCCCUAUAUGCCUUUAAGACAUAAGUCUGCAAGGGAAAUGCUUUUGUGCUAGAGGAUGGGACUGUAUGGUAUCAGAUAGUUGGUGGGGUAAUGGCCUACCAAGUCAAUGACGCCUAACUGGUUUGAGAGGAUGAUCAGUCACAUUGGAACUGAGACACGGUCCAGACUCCUACGGGAGGCAGCAGUGGGGAAUAUUGCACAAUGGAGGAAACUCUGAUGCAGCAACGCCGCGUGGAGGAUGACACAUUUCGGUGCGUAAACUCCUUUUAUAUAGGAAGAUAAUGACGGUACUAUAUGAAUAAGCGCCGGCUAACUCCGUGCCAGCAGCCGCGGUAAUACGGAGGGCGCAAGCGUUACUCGGAAUCACUGGGCGUAAAGAGCGUGUAGGCGGAUAAAUAAGUUUGAAGUGAAAUCCUAUAGCUUAACUAUAGAACUGCUUUGAAAACUGUUUAUCUAGAAUAUGGGAGAGGUAGAUGGAAUUUCUGGUGUAGGGGUAAAAUCCGUAGAGAUCGGAAGGAAUACCGAUUGCGAAGGCGAUCUACUGGAACAUUAUUGACGCUGAGACGCGAAAGCGUGGGGAGCAAACAGG